ACUAGUGCUAUGCUCACGGUAACGCGACAUUUUUAGGAAUUAAAUGUACGGAAACCUACAAAAAUAACAAAGAAAAAAAAUCGACAUUAAAAGAAAAAAGUAAAGAGAUUAGAGAAUACUGUACAGUUGUUUAUAUUUUGGCCAAGGGAGCUGACACACAAGUAAUGCAGUCAUUAAAUAAGACAUAUCAGGUGUGAGUUAUGUAUACUGGAGAAGGAGACGUCAUGAGAUGUGACCUUUCCGCAUAACUCCCGAUAUACCUACCUAGUUUUACAGUGAACUGCUAAAAUACAAACUGACAAAGAAGAUCAAAGGUUGCUUUGGAAAGUUCAAUAUGCAAUUUGCAUAUGAGUAAAAUUUGCAUACGACUAAAUAAACGAUUAUUCGAAUAAUAAUCAUGAUUAUGAAAAUGGAAGUGAACAAAAUGAAAUGCUUAUGGAAAACCUUUCAACGUCUUUCAAUGAUGGCAGGUGAAUGAAACAUAUUGUAGUUCAUUGUAGGAUAUAAAUAAUAUAACCACUUGCUUAUUGGGAAAUUUGUGAAGCCAUGGCACUGUGGACGAUAGAGUAUUGCAUGUUUGCCUACGACAGUUACAUGAAGAGUGACGAGUCUGUCAGCAGUUCAACAUGAGUUUCGGCACCACUUCAACAUUCACCAAAUUCAGGCUGUUUUCACCCAUAACACCUUCUUACGUUGGGUGAAUGCACUUCGUACAUGAGGUACAUUAAUGAAUAGGAGACUUGUUGGGGCACCACGAACAGUACAACCCCGGAAAAUGUGAAACACAUCAGACCAGCUUUGUUACGAAGUCCGAAUUGCUCUGCUUGGAGGUAUUCCACUGAGCUUGGUAUAGGUAAUUGAUCAGUGAGGCGUAUUUUGAAUGAAGACCUGCAUUUCCACCUGUACAAAUUGGUCAUUGGGCAACAGUUGAAACUAUGGGACUAUGCACAGCGGCUUAACUUUGGAUGUCAAAUGGAAGCAAUUUUUUAGGCAAAUGACAACCUCAUUUUUGUCAAUAAGUGAUGAAGCACAUUAUCAUCUCAACAUCAUGGUGAAUCAACAGAACUGUCAUUAUUAGGCUCUUGAAAAUCCAAGAGAACUGCACGAAAGACCACUGCACAGCCCAAAAGUGACAGUCUGGUGUGCUGUUGGAAAAGCUGCCGUCAUUGGUCCUUACUUUUUUUAAGGCAAUAAUGGAAAUGCCAUUACUGUGAACUCCAGGCAUUACAUUGAGAUGAUAAAAAACUUCUUUGUGCUUGAAUUACUAUGAAAAUGUAUGCCUAUUUGAAGUGUGUGGUUUCAGCAGGAUGGGGCAAUGGCCCACAAAGCCAGAGCAUCAAUGGACAUUCUUCUCCCUAUCUUCAGUGACUGCCUCAUUUUCAUGUUGGCUGACAUUCCUUGACCCCCCCCCCCCCUGGGUCCCUUGAUUUGUCCACGUGUGAUUAUUUCUUGUGGGGAAGCCUCAAGGCACAUGUGUAUGUACAUAAGCCCUGUACAUUGGGCGAUUUGAAGGAAGCUAUUCAUGUGGGAAUCACCCAAAUCAACAGAGCAAUGCUGUUGAGAGUGAAGACCAACUUCCAAGAACGCCAUCAGAAAUGCAUCAAUGAAAAGGGAUAUCACAUGAUGAAUGUUGUUUUUUGCACUUGAUUUUGACAAAUGCUAAUUCAAUGCAAACUCAUUGAUGUCAAUAAAAUUUGUU
Octopus bimaculoides (California two-spot octopus) is the source of this 1699-nucleotide long non-coding RNA. RefSeq lists it as uncharacterized. Lineage: Eukaryota; Metazoa; Mollusca; Cephalopoda; Octopoda; Octopodidae. The record is from RefSeq and is a predicted model, not a curated record.